Molecule: ribosomal RNA, 486 nt
Filed under: Glomus sp.
Lineage: Eukaryota; Fungi; Glomeromycota; Glomeromycetes; Glomerales; Glomeraceae
Description: SSU rRNA
Rfam family: Eukaryotic small subunit ribosomal RNA
Source: RNAcentral
CCAAUAGCGUAUAUUAAAGUUGUUGCAGUUAAAAAGCUCGUAGUUGAAUUUCGGGAUUAGUAGAUUGGUCAUGCCUCCGGUAUGUACUGGUCUUACUGGUUCCUCCUUCCUGAUGAACCGUAAUGCCAUUAAUUUGGUGUUGCGGGGAGACUGGACUGUUACUUUGAAAAAAUUAGAGUGUUUAAAGCAGGCUAACGCUUGAAUACAUUAGCAUGGAAUAAUGAAAUAGGACGUUCGAUCCUAUUUUGUUGGUUUCUAGGAUUGACGUAAUGAUUAAUAGGGAUAGUUGGGGGCAUUAGUAUUCAAUUGUCAGAGGUGAAAUUCUUGGAUUUAUUGAAGACUAACUACUGCGAAAGCAUUUGCCAAGGAUGUUUUCAUUAAUCAAGAACGAAAGUUAGGGGAUCGAAGACGAUCAGAUACCGUCGUAGUCUUAACCAUAAACUAUGCCGACUAGGGAUCGGAUGAUGUUAAUUUUUUAAUGACUCA